UCACCCUGGUAAAGGGUAAGAAGCGCGUUU
Molecule: small RNA, 30 nt
Filed under: Bombyx mori (domestic silkworm)
Lineage: Eukaryota; Metazoa; Arthropoda; Insecta; Lepidoptera; Bombycidae
Description: ovarian small RNA-25134
Source: RNAcentral